UGGGGAAUAUUGCACAAUGGAGGGAACUCUGAUGCAGCGACGCCGCGUGAACGAAGAAGGCUUUCGAGUCGUAAAGUUCUUUUAUAUGGGAAGAUAAUGACGGUACCAUAAGAAAAAGCCCCGGCUAACUACGUGCCAGCAGCCGCGGUAAUACGUAGGGGGCUAGCGUUGUCCGGAAUCACUGGGCGUAAAGGGUUCGCAGGCGGACAUGCAAGUCAGGUGUAAAAGGCAGUAGCUUAACUACUGUAAGCAUUUGAAACUGCAUAUCUUGAGAAGAGUAGAGGUAAGUGGAAUUUUUAGUGUAGCGGUGAAAUGCGUAGAUAUUAAAAAGAAUACCGGUGGCGAAGGCGGCUUACUGGGCUCAUUCUGACGCUGAGGAACGAAAGCGUGGGUAGCAAACAGG
This 403-nucleotide ribosomal RNA is filed under the name bacterium. RNAcentral's name for it is "partial 16S ribosomal RNA". It matches the Rfam family "Bacterial small subunit ribosomal RNA", at positions 355 to 776 of the family's 1533-position model. The record is from RNAcentral.